This 305-nucleotide ribosomal RNA is filed under the name uncultured bacterium. RNAcentral describes it as "bacterial SSU rRNA". It matches the Rfam family "Bacterial small subunit ribosomal RNA", at positions 333 to 636 of the family's 1533-position model. The record is from RNAcentral.
GAAGGCCUACGGGAGGCAGCAGUGAGGAAUAUUGGUCAAUGGGAGGAAUCCUGAACCAGCCAUGCCGCGUGCAGGACGACGGCUCUACGAGUUGUAAACUGCUUUUGUACCGGGGUAAAAUGCCUUACGAGUAGGGUUUUGAAAGUACGGUACGAAUAAGGAUCGGCUAACUCCGUGCCAGCAGCCGCGGUAAUACGGAGGAUCCGAGCGUUAUCCGGAUUCAUUGGGUUUAAAGGGUGCGCAGGCGGAUUUUUAAGUCAGCGGUCAAAUCGUGGGGCUCAACCUCAUCCAGCCGUUGAAACUGG